Molecule: ribosomal RNA, 468 nt
Filed under: uncultured bacterium
Lineage: Bacteria
Description: partial 16S ribosomal RNA
Rfam family: Bacterial small subunit ribosomal RNA
Source: RNAcentral
GACGAACGCUGGCGGCGUGCUUAACACAUGCAAGUCGAACGGAAAGGCCCUGCUUUUGUGGGGUGCUCGAGUGGCGAACGGGUGAGUAACACGUGAGUAACCUGCCCUUGACUUUGGGAUAACUUCAGGAAACUGGGGCUAAUACCGGAUAGGAGCUCCUGCUGCAUGGUGGGGGUUGGAAAGUUUCGGCGGUUGUGGAUGGACUCGCGGCUUAUCAGCUUGUUGGUGGGGUAGUGGCUUACCAAGGCUUUGACGGGUAGCCGGCCUGAGAGGGUGACCGGCCACAUUGGUACUGAGAUACGGCCCAGACUGCUACGGGAGGCAGCAGUGGGGAAUAUUGCACAAUGGGCGGAAGCCUGAUGCAGCAACGCCGCGUGCGUGAUGACGGCCUUCGGGUUGUAAACCGCUUUCGCCUGUGACGAAGCGUGAGUGACGGUAAUGGGUAAAUAAGCACCGGCUAACUACGUG